AAAAAAAGCAUUAAACGGAUACCUUGACAAAAGAUUCUAUUGGAUGUUGUACAACAAAAAUUUUAGCUGAGCUGUAAUGCUGGGACGCUGAAAUGUCCAAUAAAAGAAAUUUUUCUCUUGGAAGUUUUCAGAAAAGUGAAUUGAAACAUCUUAGUAACUUUUUAAGAAAUCAAACGAGAUACUGAAAGUAGUGGCGAACGAACUCAGUACAGGCAAAAAACAUAGAUAAAACACCAAUUGAACCUCGAGACCAGAGAAGGUUUAAGUCCUGUAGAUCGGCAAAAACUGUGUUUUUAAGUAAAAGAGGUUGUACUCUUUGAACAAUGGGGGACCACCCUCAAAGCCUAAAUUUUGGUCUUUUGAUCGAUAGUGAACGAGUACUGUGAAGGAAAGGACAUACAUCCUAGGAUGUUUUGAAAUUUAAUGCUAGCAAUCGGUUGGAGCUUUAUAAAGUGACAGCGUACCUUUUGCAUAAUGGGUCAGCGAGUUUUUAAAAAAGGCAAGCUUUUAACGAGGCGAAGAAAAUACGAAUUUUAAAAAAUAACCAGUCUUUUUUAAAAGACCCGAAACUGAGUGAUCUAACCUUGAACAGGCUGAAGACAGAGUGGUAACAUUCGUUGGAGGGCCGAACCCGUGUCUGUGGCAACAUACUGGGAUGAUUUGAGGUUAGGAGUGAAAGGCUAAUCAAACUCAGAGAUAGCUGGUUUUCUGCGAAAUCUAUUUAAGUAGAGCGAUCAAGUAAAACUUUUUGGGGUAGAGCACUUUUUAGAUGAUGGGGCAAUUUCGCUUACUGAUUUUAAGAAAACUCCGAAUACAAAAAGCUCUGAACUUGAUCAGACAGACCAUGGGUGCUAAGGUCCAUGGUCAAGAGGGAAACAGCCCAGAUUGAUCGCUAAGGUCCCAAAGAAAUCUUUCAGUUUAAGGAAGUAAGAUUACGAAGACAACUAGUAGGUCGGCUUGGAAGCAGCCAUCCUUGAAAGAAAUCGUAACAGAUCACUGGUCGAGUAAUUUUGCACCGAAAAUUUAUGGGCAUUAAAAGAUUCGCCGAAGCGGCAAACUUUUUUAAGUGGUAGCAGAACGUUCUGUGAAAUCAAUGAAGAAAAUUUGAGAAAAUUUUUCGAGAAAUCAGAAGUGAAAAUGCUGACAUGAGUAACAAAAAACAAUGUACAGAAUCAUUGUGGCUGUAAAUCCAAGGGUUUUGACGGAAGGAUUAUCCGCGUCAUGCCAUCUUUCGAUGGACAUAUUAGACGGUCCCUAAGAACGCUGAUGACAAUCAGGUUUGAUGGGUUAAACGUUUCGUUUCUUUAAAAAAAUGACAGAUUCUUAAGAUUAUUUUUAGUUUAUAGAGGAAACUAAAGGUGGUGGACGAAUUUCAGGAAAAAGUUUUUUUACUGCACAAACCGUACCUUAAACCAACACAGGUGGAUGGGUGGAAUACACUAAAGCCAAUGAGAGAAUGAUGUUGAAGGAACUCGGCAAAAUGAUUCCGUAACUUCGGAAGAAGGAAUAACCUUGCGAGGGCAACCUUGCAAGGUUGGCACAGAAUUGGGGGUAGCGACUGUUUAAUAAAAACACAGGUCUCUGCAAAUUUGUAAAAAGAUGUAUAGGGACUGACACCUGCCCGGUGCUGUAAGGUUAAACUAUGCUGUUUUGGCAGUGUACAUAAGCCUCAGUAAACGGCGGCUGUAACUCUGACGGUCCAAAGGUAGCGAAAUUCCUUGUCGGGUAAGUUCCGACCUGCACGAAUGGUGUAACGAUCUGGGCGCUGUCUCGGCCACGAGCUCGGUGAAAUUGUAGUAUCGGUGAAGAUGCCGAUUACCCGCAGUGGGACGAAAAGACCCCGUGAACCUUUACUAUAGCUUAGUAUUGGCUUUGGAUAAGUAAUGUGUAGGAUAGGUGGGAGACUUUGAAGCGGCGUCGCCAGGCGUUGUGGAGUCAUUGUUGAAAUACCACCCUUUGCUUAUCUAGAGUCUAACUUCGGAAGAAGGACAGUGCUUGGUGGGUAGUUUGACUGGGGUGGUCGCCUCCAAAAGAGUAACGGAGGCUUCUAAAGGUUCCCUCAGCACGCUUGGUAACCGUGCGCAGAGUGCAAUGGCAUAAGGGGGCUUGACUGAGAGACAUACAGGUCGAUCAGGUACGAAAGUAGAGCAUAGUGAUCCGGUGGUUCCGUAUGGAAGGGCCAUCGCUCAAAGGAUAAAAGGUACUCCGGGGAUAACAGGCUUAUCGCCACCAAGAGUUCAUAUCGACGUGGCGGUUUGGCACCUCGAUGUCGGCUCAUCGCAUCCUGGGGCUGAAGAAGGUCCCAAGGGUUUGGCUGUUCGCCAAUUAAAGCGGUACGCGAGCUGGGUUCAGAACGUCGUGAGACAGUUCGGUCCAUAUC
This 2380-nucleotide ribosomal RNA is filed under the name Heterosigma akashiwo. RNAcentral describes it as "partial Bacterial large subunit ribosomal RNA". It matches the Rfam family "Bacterial large subunit ribosomal RNA". The record is from RNAcentral. Lineage: Eukaryota; Raphidophyceae; Chattonellales; Chattonellaceae.